UACGAAGGGUGCAAGCGUUACUCGGAAUUACUGGGCGUAAAGCGUGCGUAGGUGGUGAUUUAAGUCCGUUGUGAAAGCCCUGGGCUCAACCUGGGAAUUGCAGUGGAUACUGGGUCACUAGAAUGUGGUAGAGGGUAGCGGAAUUCCUGGUGUAGCAGUGAAAUGCGUAGAGAUCAGGAGGAACAUCCGUGGCGAAGGCGGCUACCUGGACCAACAUUGACACUGAGGCACGAAAGCGUGGGGAGCAAACAGG
RNAcentral lists this ribosomal RNA (253 nucleotides) under uncultured bacterium. Its description in RNAcentral is "partial 16S ribosomal RNA". It matches the Rfam family "Bacterial small subunit ribosomal RNA", at positions 524 to 776 of the family's 1533-position model. The record is from RNAcentral.